Molecule: long non-coding RNA, 4344 nt
Filed under: Sorghum bicolor (sorghum)
Lineage: Eukaryota; Viridiplantae; Streptophyta; Magnoliopsida; Poales; Poaceae
Description: long non-coding RNA (SBIC_LNC017140)
Source: RNAcentral
AUUCAUCAGAAAUGCAUCUUGCCCCAACAUGAAAGAAGAUCGUUCAAUUUUACAAAUCACAAGUCGUAUGUAGCCAAAAUUGCACAAAUCAAUAAGAAAAUCUCACAAAUACACAAGUGCAGGAAGAGAACGUAGAUGCAAAAAGGCAAGACAUGUCUCCACAGCGGCUCCGUUGUCCACUAUCAAGAUCAAAAAAAGGAGACACAUCAGACAUCACAGCAGCAAUCAUCCUUCAUGGCUUCCUGCAGAUCGAGGUACCGGACACCGGGCUUUGAGAUGCUGCAUGCCAACUUGCCAAGGGAGGUAGGAGCUUCCGGCGUUGACCAAUGAGGACACAUAGCAGCGCACUGCACGCGUGACGGCAAGAGUCACGCCCACAAGCCGCGGGCGGCGUCUGCGCUUAGCGGCUGCGGGAGUGGCUGGGGCAGUGGGGAUGAGGAUUCAAGAAUUGAGAUUAGGGUUACAAGUUUAUAUAUAUACUCAAGUCACUCAUGGGCCUUGGUGGGCCAAAUUGAUGUGGUGCGAUGCUGCAUAUUCUAAGCGGGUCGGGUUUGCGGGGAUCGGGUACGGGUGACUGAUCCCAUCUCUGUCCCCGCCAGACCCGACGGGGAUUAAUUUUCUACCAAAUAGAUCCCCGUGGGGAGUAAAUUGAUCCCAUCCCUGUCCCCUAAUAGGGAAAUUCCCCACGGAGAAUCGGAGAUCGGGGCCCAUUGCCAUCUUGACUUGUAAGGUGUAAUGUAACGCAGAGCUAACUUGCCUCAAACUCCAAACCGAUGCACACCCUUCGUGGGAGAUACUUUGAGGUACACAUGAGCACCAAUUUCAAAUUGCAAGGGCCUUCUUCUCUUAUCCGCAUAAGUUUUCUAGCGAUUUUGAGCUGCCUUCAAGUGACUCUGAAUAACACCGACUUGGUCUCUUGCUUCCUUAAUAAAAUCAGGCCCAAAAUAUCCAUGGUCUCCCACUUUAAACACAGUUGGGUGGUGUUCUAUAUUUCUUGCCAUACAAGUCCUCGAAAGGAGACCUGUGAAGAACAUUGAUGUCAUUAUAAAACCCGGGCAUUCCAAAGGCAUGCCAUAUCCAAAGGUCGUUUGAAGCAGCAGCCUCCAAAAUGAGGGCUUCUUCACAUGCCCCUUGUACUAACCCUGUGAUUGUACUAUACAGUUCUUCCACGCCCAAUGCAUACAAUCGAUGAACCCUAACAUUCCUCAAAAGCCUCUUUGCUCACAGAGUGUCGGUAAGAGUGUUGUGUCUGCCUCAUUGCGACACCUCAGGUAUUCUCUACAACUAAAAAUUAUGGAGAGAACACAUCUACCACAUCCAUGGUGAAGCCAUAACUCCCCUUUUUACUAUACAUGAUAGGUUAUCCAUCAAAUCAGGCUCCACUCACCCAUGCAUGCAAAAAUGUUUUAGCGAAUUAAAAAAAGUCAUAACUCUUAAACCGAAGAUAUAAAUUAAAUUUCGAUUGCACCAUUAAAUUUCUUAUAACAAAUCCUUUAAAACAAGAUCACACAUGGAUAUAUUUAGAUAAAAUUUUAUUAAUAAAUAUUUAUCUCUACAACUAAAAAUUAUAGAGAGGACCCGUCCACAACUCCCAUUCCUUUGGUGGUCACGCUAUCCCAUCAACCUAGGCCCACUCACCUGUGCAUGCAAAAUUGUUUUAGCGAAUUAAAAAAAAUCUUAACUCAUAAACCAAAGAUAUAAAUUAAAUUCUGAUUGCACCAUUAAAUUUUCUUAUAACAAAUCCUUCAAAACAAGAUCACACAUGGAUAUAUUUAGAUAAAAUUUUAUUAAUGAAUAUUUAUCUUAUGAAGAUAAAAUAUUUUCUUUUAUUAAGUAGAGACAAUAUUCUAGGUUGAACAGACAAUGUUCUGUCUUUGUAAAAAAAGUGUUAUCGAUUUAGAAGAAUAGUAUUUUGGUUUUAGGUUUAUAAAACUAAUAUUACAAUAUAUAUAAAAAUACAUAAAUACAUGACAUAGAUAAAAAUAAUAAUAAAAUCUAGAGUAAAAAACAUAAGAAAAAAAUAAAACACAAAAUGGAGAAAAAUUUCAAAUAAUGUCAAAGGGUUACUUUUCAAAUAUCAUAAAUAUAUUUAUAGAACAUUAAAAUCACUAAAUACAUCAUAGAACAUCAUUAAAUAUAUUAUAGAACAUCACAUCUAUUAUAGAUUACAUGUAUACUAAGUGAACACCAUAAGAAAUAUCAUAGAACAUCACAUGUAUACUACGUAAACAUGACAUAACACAACAUAGAACGCUAAAUAUAUACUACAUAAACAUUGCAUAUAUAUAGAAAACGAAAAUAAAAAUAAAAUUACUAAGAAGAAAACUAUAAAAACGAACAUGAUUAACAAAUGAUAAAAAGUGCAUAGAGCAAAUAAAAUAAAUGAAUAAUUUAAAUAAGGAUAAAAAUAAGAUUAAAAGGAAUUAAAAUAUAAAAUAAGAAUGAAGAAACAUAGAAAACCUAAAAAGAAAAAAGAAAAAUAAAUAGAAGCAAGGAAGAACAAUAAAACUAAAACCAAAAGAAAAAGAAAAAUAAAAGGUAAAAUUAAAACAAGAAAAGAAUAAGGACAUGACAGGAAAUAAAAUAAAAACGAAAAACGAAAACUGAAAAGAAAUAAAAAAGAAACAAUAUAGACAGAAAAAUACAAUAACAAUGAAGAAAACAUAGAGUAUUUGGAUUUUAAAACCCGUAACAACAUACGGGCAUUAACCUAGUCAACUUCAAAAAUAUCAACAGUUAUAGCAACAAACCUAUAAAGACUCUCAAGUGUAGUACUUUCGCCAAUGCGAUAGCAUCAACUGGAACCCCAUAAGUGAGCACACGAAAUGCGGCAAUUACUUUUUGGAAGCAACUCAAUCCAAGUACAUUGGCCGCAUUCUUUUUUGCACGAAGUAAUCAUCGUGUGCUUUAAUAGCAUUCAUUAUGCGUAGAAAAAGCUCCCAAGACAUCCUGUACCUAAACAAAAACAAACUAAAGUUUAAAAACUCGUAUAAUACUUAAGCACAUACUGCAAACCAAUCUGAAGUGAAAGAACAACAACCUUCGAUAGAAUAUUUGAGGGUCGUGUGUUGCAUUAAUUGCCAAAUAAUCUUGAAAUAUCUUGUCAUGGCCGCCUUCUCUGUCACGAUAGAUAACUCUUUGGCCAAGGAUAUAGUGACUUCUUUUGGCAUUGGAAAAAGUUUACACAAUUCGAGCCACCGAGAAUAUUAUGUAGUCCUCGUCAUCGGAUGAUGAAUUGUCCUAUUCUCUUUGAACAAGGGAUCUCUUGAAAGGCAUGACUCCUGGGAACUGGGAACGGCUAGUGGAGGAGAUGGCCUCGUCUGGCUGGUGGAGGAGAUGGGCAGCAGAGGGAGAAGGAUAUGUGCGACAGAGGUAGGAGGACGCGGCGGCGGCAUCAAUCGCACGCGAGUGGAGAGGUGUUGCAAUGAAACUGUUGCGACCAGUAAAAGAUUGCUUGUGAGUCCCUUUUUUUAGUUUUGGCAAGUUAAAAAUAGCAAACUUUUAGAGAGGACCUCUUUUUUUACUUGGCAAAAGAUAGCAAACUUUUGGAGAUGUCUAAACCUCAUAACAGGUGCACACGUAAUAGGCACACAUUUAAGACGAGCCAAUCUCUAGACAAUGUAUCCUUGGGAUUAUUUCUUUAAUGAUGUACUCCCAUGAUCCAAUUUCAAAUAGGCAAACUGAUGUAAUUUAAGUUAUGGCCUUUAAUUAUGUUUUGUUUUUUGUACAUGAGAAAAAUAUUGUGAUUCUUUUUUUUGGGGGGGAGGGUCAGAAAAGUUAUGAUCACAAAGGUACACCUAUCAUGAAAAAUUGUUAUUCCUUUUGAAUUCUAUAGAAAUGGUUUCAGUAAAGAUGAAAACGGAACGAAAAUAUCCCGAACCGAACCGCAUCAUUUUCUAUAUUUAAUCUGAUCAAGUUCAUAUUUUUGUGUCUGAUUACUGUUUUCGCUUUCGUAUUUCAGCUCUUUCAUAUUUCAAAUGUGAAAGUAGAACGGUUUAGACAUUUUUCGGCUGUUUUCUACUUUUAAUUUGAAAUAUUCUGAAUUUAAAAUUUAGUUUAAAUCAAAUUUAACCAACUGCACAGGUCACACAGUCUAAUUAUAGACUACUCACCACGUAGCUGAGUUCUUUCUACUGGUGCCCAGCUACACUCUCUUAUAUGGAUGACACCUAGUCUUAACUUCCUUAAUCUCACGAGGUGUUGCUAAAUGGUAGGAAGCCAGCAUCAUCAAGCUCAUCAGUUUAACCCCCACCUACCAAAUCAAUCGUUCGAUAGUUUUGCCUCACCUGAAUAAAUCUUUGUUACUCAAAAGAAAAGGUUGAAUAAAUUUUUAAAAUAAAAUAC